This 492-nucleotide ribosomal RNA is filed under the name uncultured bacterium. Its description in RNAcentral is "partial 16S ribosomal RNA". It matches the Rfam family "Bacterial small subunit ribosomal RNA", at positions 29 to 507 of the family's 1533-position model. The record is from RNAcentral.
AGUGAACGCUGGCGGUAGGCCUAACACAUGCAAGUCGAACGGCAGCACAGUAAGAGCUUGCUCUUACGGGUGGCGAGUGGCGGACGGGUGAGGAAUACAUCGGAAUCUACUUUUUCGUGGGGGAUAACGUAGGGAAACUUACGCUAAUACCGCAUACUACCUACGGGUGAAAGCAGGGGAUCUUCGGACCUUGCGCGAUUGAAUUAGCCGAUGUCGGAUUAGCUAGUUGGCGGGGUAAAGGCCCACCAAGGCGACGAUCCGUAGCUGGUCUGAGAGGAUGAUCAGCCACACUGGAACUGAGACACGGUCCAGACUCCUACGGGAGGCAGCAGUGGGGAAUAUUGGACAAUGGGCGAAAGCCUGAUCCAGCCAUACCGCGUGGGUGAAGAAGGCCUUCGGGUUGUAAAGCCCUUUUGUUGGGAAAGAAAAGCAGCAGGUUAAUACCCCGCUGUUCUGACGGUACCCAAAGAAUAAGCACCGGCUAACUUCGUG